Molecule: ribosomal RNA, 265 nt
Filed under: uncultured prokaryote
Description: partial 16S ribosomal RNA
Rfam family: Bacterial small subunit ribosomal RNA
Source: RNAcentral
UACGGAGGGUGCGAGCGUUGUCCGGAAUCAUUGGGCGUAAAGGGCGCGUAGGUGGCCCGGCAAGCGUGCGGUGAAAGUCGGGGGCUCAACCCCCGAUCGGCCGUGCGAACUGCGGGGCUGGAGCACUGUAGAGGCAGGCGGAAUUCCGGGUGUAGCGGUGGAAUGCGUAGAGAUCCGGAAGAACACCGGUGGCGAAGGCGGCCUGCUGGGCAGUAAAGGGGAAACCCGCUGACACUGAGGCGCGACAGCGUGGGGAGCAAACAGG